GACGAACGCUGGCGGCGUGCUUAACACAUGCAAGUCGAACGGAAAGGCCCUGCUUUUGUGGGGUGCUCGAGUGGCGAACGGGUGAGUAACACGUGAGUAACCUGCCCUUGACUUUGGGAUAACUUCAGGAAACUGGGGCUAAUACCGGAUAGGAGCUCCUGCUGCAUGGUGGGGGUUGGAAAGUUUCGGCGGUUGGGGAUGGACUCGCGGCUUAUCAGCUUGUUGGUGGGGUAGUGGCUUACCAAGGCUUUGACGGGUAGCCGGUCUGAGAGGGUGACCGGCCACAUUGGGACUGAGAUACGGCCCAGACUCCUACGGGAGGCAGCAGUGGGGAAUAUUGCACAAUGGGCGGAAGCCUGAUGCAGCAACGCCGCGUGCGGGAUGACGGCCUUCGGGUUGUAAACCGCUUUCGCCUGUGACGAAGCGUGAGAGACGGUAAUGGGUAAAGAAGCACCGGCUAACUACGUG
Molecule: ribosomal RNA, 468 nt
Filed under: uncultured bacterium
Lineage: Bacteria
Description: partial 16S ribosomal RNA
Rfam family: Bacterial small subunit ribosomal RNA
Source: RNAcentral